Molecule: ribosomal RNA, 358 nt
Filed under: uncultured bacterium
Lineage: Bacteria
Description: bacterial SSU rRNA
Rfam family: Bacterial small subunit ribosomal RNA
Source: RNAcentral
AACGAACGCUGGCGGUAGGCCUCAAACAUGCAAGUCUAGGGGGUGUAGCAAUACAUCACCGGCGGACGGGUGCGUAACGCGUGGGAAUAUACCUAUUGAUUCGGAACAACUGAGGGAAACUUCAGCUAAUACCGAAUACGUCCUAACGGAGAAAGAUUUAUCGUCGAUAGAUUAGCCCGCGUUCGAUUAGCUAGUUGGUGGGGUAACGGCCCACCAAGGCGACGAUCGAUAGCUGUUCUGAGAGGAAGAUCAGCCACACUGGGACUGAGACACGGCCCAGACUCCUACGGGAGGCAGCAGUUGGAAUCGUUGGACAAGUGGGGAAACCCUGAUCCAGCCAUGCCGCGUGAGUGAUGAA